UGAGAGGAUUUCGCUAAGCUCCUCA
RNAcentral lists this non-coding RNA (25 nucleotides) under Mus musculus (house mouse). The record is from RNAcentral. Lineage: Eukaryota; Metazoa; Chordata; Mammalia; Rodentia; Muridae.